Molecule: ribosomal RNA, 397 nt
Filed under: uncultured bacterium
Lineage: Bacteria
Description: partial 16S ribosomal RNA
Rfam family: Bacterial small subunit ribosomal RNA
Source: RNAcentral
AUACGUAGGUGACAAGCGUUAUCCGGAUUUACUGGGCGUAAAGGGCGUGUAGGCGGUCUUGCAAGUCAGAAGUGAAAUUCCUGAGCUCAACUCGGGCGCUGCUUCUGAAACUGCAGGACUUGAGUGCUGGAGGGGAUAGCGGAAUUCCUAGUGGAGCGGUAAAAUGCGCAGAUAUUAGGAAGAACACCGGUGGCGAAGGCGGCUAUCUGGACAGUAACUGACGCUGAGGCGCGAAAGCGUGGGGAGCAAACAGGAUUAGAUCCCCUGGUAGUCCACGCCGUAAACGAUGAAUACUAGGUGUAGGGGGUAUCGACUCCCUCUGUGCCGCAGUUAGCACAAUAAGUAUUCCGCCUGGGGAGUACGGCCGCAAGGUUGAAACUCAAAUGAAUUGACGGGG